ACAGAGGGUGCAAACGUUGUUCGGAAUUACUGGGCGUAAAGCGCGUGUAGGCGGCUUGGUAAGUCGGGUGUGAAAGCCCUGGGCUCAACCCAGGAAGUGCACUCGAAACUGCCGAGCUGGAGUCCCGGAGAGGAAGGCGGAAUUCUCGGUGUAGAGGUGAAAUGCGUAGAUAUCUGGAGGAACACCGGUGGCGAAGGCGGCAUCCUGGACCGGCAUUGACGCUGAGGCGCGAAAGCCAGGGGAGCAAACGGGA
Molecule: ribosomal RNA, 253 nt
Filed under: uncultured prokaryote
Description: partial 16S ribosomal RNA
Rfam family: Bacterial small subunit ribosomal RNA
Source: RNAcentral